UACGUAGGGUGCGAGCGUUAAUCGGAAUUACUGGGCGUAAAGCGCGCGCAGGUGGUUUCUUAAGUCUGAUGCGAAAGCCCACGGCUCAACCGUGGAGGGUCAUUGGAAACUGGGGAACUUGAGUGCAGAAGAGGAAAGUGGAAUUCCAAGUGUAGCGGUGAAAUGCGUAGAGAUUUGGAGGAACACCAGUGGCGAAGGCGACUUUCUGGUCUGUAACUGACACUGAGGCGCGAAAGCGUGGGGAGCGAACAGG
This 253-nucleotide ribosomal RNA is filed under the name uncultured bacterium. RNAcentral's name for it is "partial 16S ribosomal RNA". It matches the Rfam family "Bacterial small subunit ribosomal RNA", at positions 524 to 776 of the family's 1533-position model. The record is from RNAcentral.